AUGAACUGGAUUUUUAUUACAAUAACUCACUUUGUACCUUUCAUAAUUCCAGGCUCCAGUUUCCUUCCCAUCUGAAAACACACCUGAAUCUUCAGACAGGUCCACGAGGACAAACGUCCCAAAGAAACGGUGCAUUUUGCAGUGAACAUCUGAUCAGAGCGUAUUCCAAAACGACAAAGAAAACCUGAACUGCUGAAACACUGUUAUAAAAGAAAUACAGCGAACAUGUACAUUUUCACUUUAAACUGUUAUAAUUCACAGAGAAAAUACAUUUGAAACCAGUAAAUAUAACAGUGUUUUUCUGGUGAAUUAGCAUGACGACGCUGAAUUUAAACAGAUUGAUUAUUUCAGUCAUUUUUCCUCAAAAUGUAUGAUGUAAUGUUUUCUGCUGUAUUAAUCACAAGAGCUUAACGUGAUAGUAACUUUUAAAUAUUGCAGCUCUGUCAUAAAAUCUGUGGGCUGGGGUGUUGAGGGAGGUGAGUAGGGUGGAGUUGAGGUGGUUGAGCAGAUCAUCAGGUGAGCUGAGGGUUGUGUCCAGGGGGAGAUUAGACGAUAGCAGUUCGGAGAGAUGGUUAUGGUCAAU
Molecule: long non-coding RNA, 583 nt
Organism: Trematomus bernacchii (emerald rockcod)
Lineage: Eukaryota; Metazoa; Chordata; Actinopteri; Perciformes; Nototheniidae
Exons: 3
Source: RefSeq, a predicted model, not a curated record